This 773-nucleotide ribosomal RNA is filed under the name uncultured Neocallimastigales. Its description in RNAcentral is "partial large subunit ribosomal RNA". It matches the Rfam family "Eukaryotic large subunit ribosomal RNA", at positions 22 to 616 of the family's 3401-position model. The record is from RNAcentral. Lineage: Eukaryota; Fungi; Neocallimastigomycota; Neocallimastigomycetes; Neocallimastigales.
UAGAUGCGAGAGUAGAGCAUAUCAAUAAGCGGAGGAAAAGAAACUAACAAGGAUUCCCUUAGUAACGGCGAGUGAAGCGGGAAGAGCUCAAAUUUGAAAUCUUCAAGGUUCUACCUUGACGAAUCGUAGUUUAAAGAAGUGUUUUCUGUUAGAUGAGUAGCAAAAGUUCCUUGGAAUGGGACAUCAUAGAGGGUGAGAAUCCGUAUUUGGUUAUUCAUUCUAGCUUUGUGAUACACUUUCAAAGAGUCGGAUUGUUUGGGAAUGCAGUCCAAAAUGGGUGGUAAAUUUCAUCUAAAGCUAAAUAUUGGCGAGAGACCGAUAGCGAACAAGUACCGUGAGGGAAAGAUGAAAAGAACUUUGAAAAGAGAGUUAAACAGUACGUGAAAUUGUCAAAAGGGAAGCGUUUGACACCAGUGUUGUUUUUCCGAAAAUCAAUUACGAAUGGCUUGAUUUUGUGUUGUAUUGACCUUAUCAGCUUUCUUCACUUUUUUCGAGUCUUUCUUAAUGCACUUUUCGGUUAACAAGUCAACAUCAAUUUCUUUUGUUGUAAAAGAGUAUUCGGAAGGUGGCUUUCUUUUCGGAGAAAGUGUUUAUAGCCCUAUACUUCUACAAUCGGAGAGAUUGAGGUCUGCAGCGUAGAUCCUUCGGGGUUAGAUACACUUGUGCUAAGUUGUAGCUUUUCAUAGACAACUUGUUGACUAUGUUUAGUCAUGCGGCUUACUCGCUUAUGCUAUUUUACCUACGCUUAGGAUGUUGAGCGCAUGUCUCUCUCU